Molecule: non-coding RNA, 218 nt
Filed under: Marinactinospora thermotolerans
Lineage: Bacteria; Bacillati; Actinomycetota; Actinomycetes; Streptosporangiales; Nocardiopsidaceae
Also listed under: 1 other name
Source: RNAcentral
AGUAUCUCUCCCGCUGAUGGUUCACCCGGUGCAUUCCCCGGGUGAGGCAAGAGGGAACCCGGUGGGAAUCCGGGACUGCCCCGCAGCGGUGAACGGGAACGGAAGCCGUCAACACGCACUGGGUGCCACACGCCUGGGAAGCGACGGCCGGUAGGCCGGGCCGGAGGAAUCCGCCCACGCCCGUGAGUCCGAAGACCUGCCAUCGGCGUGCGCGCGUG